Molecule: unclassified non-coding RNA, 196 nt
Filed under: uncultured Candida
Lineage: Eukaryota; Fungi; Ascomycota; Saccharomycetes; Saccharomycetales
Description: sequence contains ITS2
Source: RNAcentral
AACGCACAUUGCGCUUCUAGGAUCUCCUAGUAGCAUGCUUGUUGGAGCGCCGAACUUUCUCUCUAAUCUACUUCUUGUGGAUUACGAGGUGUUGCUCCUUAUUGGAGUCAAAGAAAUGGAACAGCACACGUUAAUAACUCUGUGCAGUAAUAUUUUUUAUGGCCCCCAAUCAAGCAAGAUUACCCUCCGAACUUAA